CCCUUAGAUGUCCUGGGCCGCACGCGCGCUACACUGAGUGUCUGAGAUACGAGUCUGCCUGGUCCGGCAAGGUCUAGGUAAUCGCUAAAAGACACAUCAUGCUUGGGAUAGAUUAUUGCAAAUAUUAAUCUUCAACGAGGAAUGCCUAGUAGGCGCAAGUCAUCAGCUUGCGUCGAUUACGUCCCUGCCCUUUGUACACACCGCCCGUCGCUCCUACCGAUUGGGUGUGCUGGUGAAAUGUUCGGAUCGGCCGUUUGUCGCGGUUUCCGCGGCUCGUGGCUGAGAAGUUCAUUAAACCCUCCCACCUAGAGGAAGGAGAAGUCGUAACA
This 329-nucleotide ribosomal RNA is filed under the name uncultured eukaryote. RNAcentral's name for it is "partial 18S ribosomal RNA". It matches the Rfam family "Eukaryotic small subunit ribosomal RNA", at positions 1470 to 1796 of the family's 1831-position model. The record is from RNAcentral.